RNAcentral lists this unclassified non-coding RNA (240 nucleotides) under soil metagenome. RNAcentral's name for it is "partial contains 5.8S ribosomal RNA, internal transcribed spacer 2, and large subunit ribosomal RNA". The record is from RNAcentral.
AACGCACGAGACCUGCGGACCUGCGGAGGGAUCAUUAUCGAAUCAAUUGGGUCUCUGGGAUGUCGCUGGACCCCUUCCGUCCGUGCACUCCCGGCCGGCCUUUUUUUCUUUUCGAUUCACCCCACAUCUUAUGUGCACUUGCUUGUAGGGGGGGGCACAACCUCUACGUUGCAUCUUACUUUAUUCCGAAAUGUUUUUCUGAAAGUCGUAUUUUGAUAAUCAUAAACAACUUUUAACAAU